UUUCCGUAGGUGAACCUGCGGAAGGAUCAUUAUUGUAUAACCGAGGUGCGAGGGCUGUCGGUGACCCGAAAGGUCGUGCACGCUCGAGUGCCCUCACACACAUCCAUCUCACCCCUAUGUGCACCACCGCGUGGGUCCCCCUUUGGCUUGUUCGGAGGGGGGCUUACGUUUUCACACAAACUUUGUAUGCAGUGUAGAAUGUAUUUUUUGUUUUUGCGAUCACGCAAUCAAUACAACUUUCAACAACGGAUCUCUUGGCUCUCGCAUCGAUGAAGAACGCAGU
This 283-nucleotide unclassified non-coding RNA is filed under the name plant metagenome. Its description in RNAcentral is "partial contains small subunit ribosomal RNA, internal transcribed spacer 1, and 5.8S ribosomal RNA". The stretch from base 235 to 283 matches the Rfam family "5.8S ribosomal RNA", at positions 1 to 49 of the family's 154-position model. The record is from RNAcentral.